Acanthosepion pharaonis is the source of this 83-nucleotide non-coding RNA. The record is from the annotation of a GenBank genome assembly. Lineage: Eukaryota; Metazoa; Mollusca; Cephalopoda; Sepiida; Sepiidae.
AGAUACACCAGUUCCCGUUCGAUCACCGAAGUUAAGCAAGUCGAGCCUAGUCAGUACCUAGAUGAGUGAUCGCUUCAGAAUAC